Ipomoea nil (Japanese morning glory) is the source of this 73-nucleotide transfer RNA. It matches the Rfam family "tRNA". Rfam says of the family: Transfer RNA (tRNA) molecules are approximately 80 nucleotides in length. Their secondary structure includes four short double-helical elements and three loops (D, anti-codon, and T loops). NCBI's taxonomy places the organism in Eukaryota, Viridiplantae, Streptophyta, Magnoliopsida, Solanales, Convolvulaceae. The record is from Rfam.
GGGGAUGUAGCAAAAAUGGUAGAGUGCUCGCUUUGCAUGCGAGAGGCACGGGGUUCGAUCCUUCGCAUCUCCA